This 74-nucleotide transfer RNA is filed under the name Prevotella heparinolytica. RNAcentral's name for it is "Bacteroides heparinolyticus tRNA-Gly(gcc)". It matches the Rfam family "tRNA". Rfam says of the family: Transfer RNA (tRNA) molecules are approximately 80 nucleotides in length. Their secondary structure includes four short double-helical elements and three loops (D, anti-codon, and T loops). Further hydrogen bonds mediate the characteristic L-shaped molecular structure. tRNAs have two regions of fundamental functional importance: the anti-codon, which is responsible for specific mRNA codon recognition, and the 3' end, to which the tRNAs corresponding amino acid is attached (by aminoacyl-tRNA synthetases). tRNAs cope with the degeneracy of the genetic code in two manners: having more than one tRNA (with a specific anti-codon) for a particular amino acid; and 'wobble' base-pairing, i.e. permitting non-standard base-pairing at the 3rd anti-codon position. The record is from RNAcentral. Lineage: Bacteria; Pseudomonadati; Bacteroidota; Bacteroidia; Bacteroidales; Prevotellaceae. RNAcentral also lists the same sequence under 23 other names.
GCGGAAAUAGCUCAGUUGGUAGAGCACAACCUUGCCAAGGUUGGGGUCGCGAGUUCGAGUCUCGUUUUCCGCUC